AUGCAAGUCGAGCGGAUGACGGGAGCUUGCUCCUUGAUUCAGCGGCGGACGGGUGAGUAAUGCCUAGGAAUCUGCCUGGUAGUGGGGGACAACGUUUCGAAAGGAACGCUAAUACCGCAUACGUCCUACGGGAGAAAGCAGGGGACCUUCGGGCCUUGCGCUAUCAGAUGAGCCUAGGUCGGAUUAGCUAGUUGGUGGGGUAAUGGCUCACCAAGGCGACGAUCCGUAACUGGUCUGAGAGGAUGAUCAGUCACACUGGAACUGAGACACGGUCCAGACUCCUACGGGAGGCAGCAGUGGGGAAUAUUGCACAAUGGGCGCAAGCCUGAUGCAGCCAUGCCGCGUGUAUGAAGAAGGCCUUCGGGUUGUAAAGUACUUUCAGCGGGGAGGAAGGCGAUAAGGUUAAUAACCUUGUCGAUUGACG
Molecule: ribosomal RNA, 424 nt
Filed under: uncultured Pseudomonas sp.
Lineage: Bacteria; Pseudomonadati; Pseudomonadota; Gammaproteobacteria; Pseudomonadales; Pseudomonadaceae
Description: bacterial SSU rRNA
Rfam family: Bacterial small subunit ribosomal RNA
Source: RNAcentral